CCAGAAAAGAGAGAUUCUAA
Molecule: transfer RNA, 20 nt
Filed under: Synodontis nigrita
Lineage: Eukaryota; Metazoa; Chordata; Actinopteri; Siluriformes; Mochokidae
Description: partial transfer RNA Pro
Source: RNAcentral